GUCCCCAUCGUCUAGAGGCCUAGGACACUACCCUUUCACGGUAGGUACGGGGGUUCGAAUCCCCCUGGGGACGCCA
This 76-nucleotide transfer RNA is filed under the name Burkholderiales bacterium. RNAcentral's name for it is "tRNA-Glu". It matches the Rfam family "tRNA". Rfam says of the family: Transfer RNA (tRNA) molecules are approximately 80 nucleotides in length. Their secondary structure includes four short double-helical elements and three loops (D, anti-codon, and T loops). Further hydrogen bonds mediate the characteristic L-shaped molecular structure. tRNAs have two regions of fundamental functional importance: the anti-codon, which is responsible for specific mRNA codon recognition, and the 3' end, to which the tRNAs corresponding amino acid is attached (by aminoacyl-tRNA synthetases). tRNAs cope with the degeneracy of the genetic code in two manners: having more than one tRNA (with a specific anti-codon) for a particular amino acid; and 'wobble' base-pairing, i.e. permitting non-standard base-pairing at the 3rd anti-codon position. RNAcentral also lists the same sequence under 6 other names. Lineage: Bacteria; Pseudomonadati; Pseudomonadota; Betaproteobacteria; Burkholderiales. The record is from RNAcentral.